GGGUUUCUGACUAUCACCCUAAGUUUGUUCACUUUUAAUCUCAAGAAGUCAGUUUGGGAUGAAAAUAAAGAGAACCUGAGACAGCCUAAAUCCACAAAACAGAGAAGGAAGUGGUGCUGUUUUAAGACAAAAUAUGGUAAAAACAAAAAGUGCUUUAGUUUUUCUCUUAACUGCACCUUGUAUGAAAGUAACUUAAAAUAUCCAUGACAUUAUUUCUAAAAGCAUCAUCAGUUUUAGUUCCUAAAACUUUUUCACAGUUCUUUUUAAGAUUAACAUGUGCUAAUUCUGCAGAUUUGAUUUGACAGAUCUCCUGCUUUGUCCGCUCAACAAUUUCCUGUUCUCAUCCUCAGUACAUAUAGACAGUAACUGAUGUGGCAUGACACAGUCCGUGGGUAAACCUUUGGUGAUCUGAGUUAUUCACCUGCAGCUUGCAGAAAAAGAAGACGACAAAAUAAGAGGAGGUGAUGAUGAUUAAGGUCUAUCUGCUCCUUUGGGCUCUCGCUGUCCCACUAAUUUCAUCAGAGGAAGAAGGUUCUGCCGAUGCCCCUACUGAUGAUGAUGGCUCAUAUUCAGAUGAAGAUGAGCCAGUCUGCUCUUCUGGUGCCUCAGCCCUGAUUACCACUGACUUUUCCUUCUCUUACCUCAAUCCCACUCACCUGGUCUAUGCGUUCUUAGUUUUGUGCCUGUUGGCACGUUAAACUCAUCUUGUAUCAGGUUUGUUGUGUCAACAUUUUGCUGAAUUGUGUAAAACAUACUUUGAGAAUCUGUUUAGUGAAAUUGUUUGUUGUCUGAGAAAAAAAGUGAUGUGUUGGUUUGCAGACAAUGUUAUCUCUAAAUUAACUUCUGAUAAACUGUGCAUAGUCGCUCUGUAACCACAAGCUAAAGCAAUAAAGUUUGAUACGGUCUGAUAAGAUUUACUUAUGGGUUUCAAAAUGGCAAGACUUUUUUUCAUCAUCAUCCUCUUUUCAGAGGUUG
Molecule: long non-coding RNA, 975 nt
Filed under: Mastacembelus armatus (zig-zag eel)
Lineage: Eukaryota; Metazoa; Chordata; Actinopteri; Synbranchiformes; Mastacembelidae
Description: lncRNA (ENSMAMG00000026848.1)
Source: RNAcentral